Molecule: ribosomal RNA, 450 nt
Filed under: uncultured bacterium
Lineage: Bacteria
Description: partial 16S ribosomal RNA
Rfam family: Bacterial small subunit ribosomal RNA
Source: RNAcentral
CCUACGGGAGGCUGCAGUAAGGAAUAUUGGUCAAUGGACGAAAGUCUGAACCAGCCAUGCCGCGUGAAGGAUGAAGGUCCUCUGGAUUGUAAACUUCUUUUAUCUGGGACGAAAAAAGGGAAUUCUUUCCCACUUGACGGUACCAGAGGAAUAAGCACCGGCUAACUCCGUGCCAGCAGCCGCGGUAAUACGGAGGGUGCAAGCGUUAUCCGGAUUCACUGGGUUUAAGGGGUGCGUGGAAGUCUCUGUUGAAAUCUCCGAGCUUAACUCGGAAACUGCCGUUGAUACUAUAGGUCUUGAAUCAUCUGGAGGUAAGCGGAAUAUGUCAUGUAGCGGUGAAAUGCUUAGAUAUGACAUAGAACACCAAUUGCGAAGGCAGCUUACUACGGAUGCAUUGACACUGAGGCACGAAAGCGUGGGGAUCAAACAGGAUUAGAUACCCGAGUAGUC